Molecule: ribosomal RNA, 497 nt
Filed under: uncultured bacterium
Lineage: Bacteria
Description: partial 16S ribosomal RNA
Rfam family: Bacterial small subunit ribosomal RNA
Source: RNAcentral
GAUGAACGCUGGCGGCGUGCCUAAUACAUGCAAGUCGAGCGAACAGACGAGGAGCUUGCUCCUCUGACGUUAGCGGCGGACGGGUGAGUAACACGUGGAUAACCUACCUAUAAGACUGGGAUAACUUCGGGAAACCGGAGCUAAUACCGGAUAAUAUAUUGAACCGCAUGGUUCAAUAGUGAAAGACGGUUUUGCUGUCACUUAUAGAUGGAUCCGCGCCGCAUUAGCUAGUUGGUAAGGUAACGGCUUACCAAGGCAACGAUGCGUAGCCGACCUGAGAGGGUGAUCAGCCACACUGGAACUGAGACACGGUCCAGACUCCUACGGGAGGCAGCAGUAGGGAAUCUUCCGCAAUGGGCGAAAGCCUGACGGAGCAACGCCGCGUGAGUGAUGAAGGUCUUCGGAUCGUAAAACUCUGUUAUUAGGGAAGAACAAAUGUGUAAGUAACUAUGUACGUCUUGACGGUACCUAAUCAGAAAGCCACGGCUAACUACGUG